Molecule: ribosomal RNA, 409 nt
Filed under: uncultured bacterium
Lineage: Bacteria
Description: bacterial LSU rRNA
Rfam family: Bacterial large subunit ribosomal RNA
Source: RNAcentral
AUCCGGGUCUGGGACCGUGCAUGGUAGGCAGUUUGACUGGGGCGGUCUCCUCCUAAAGUGUAACGGAGGAGUACGAAGGUACGCUAGGUACGGUCGGACAUCGUGCUAAUAGUGCAAUGGCAAAAGCGUGCUUGACUGCGAGACCCACACGUCGAGCAGGUACGAAAGUAGGUCAUAGUGAUCCGGUGGUUCUGUAUGGAAGGGCCAUCGCUCAACGGAUAAAAGGUACUCUGGAUAACAGGCUAAUACCGCCCAAGAGUUCAUAUCGACGGCGGUGUUUGGCACCUCGAUGUCGGCUCAUCACAUCCUGGGGCUGUAGUCGGUCCCAAGGGUAUGGCUGUUCGCCAUUUAAAGUGGUACGUGAGCUGGGUUUAAAACGUCGUGAGACAGUUUGGUCCCUAUCUGCCGU